RNAcentral lists this ribosomal RNA (755 nucleotides) under Serratia symbiotica. Its description in RNAcentral is "bacterial SSU rRNA". It matches the Rfam family "Bacterial small subunit ribosomal RNA", at positions 86 to 837 of the family's 1533-position model. Lineage: Bacteria; Pseudomonadati; Pseudomonadota; Gammaproteobacteria; Enterobacterales; Yersiniaceae. The record is from RNAcentral.
UGCUGACGAGUGGCGGACGGGUGAGUAAAGUAUGGGGAUCUGCCGAAUGGAGGGGGACAACUGCUGGAAACGGCAGCUAAUACCGCAUAAAGUUGAGAGACCAAAGCGUGGGACUUUUUAGCCACGCGCCAUUUGAUGAACCCAUAUGGGAUUAGCUUGUUGGUAGGGUAAUGGCUUACCAAGGCGACGAUCUCUAGCUGGUCUGAGAGGAUGACCAGCCACACUGGAACUGAGACACGGUCCAGACUCCUAUGGGAGGCAGCAGUGGGGGAUAUUGCACAAUGGGGGAAACCCUGAUGCAGCCAUGCCGCGUGUAUGAAGAAGGCUUUCGGGUUGUAAAGUACUUUCGGUAAUGAGGAAGGUGUAUUAUCUAACAGGUAAUGCAAUUGACGUUAGUUACAGAAGAAGCACCGGCUAACUCCGUGCCAGCAGCCGCGGUAAUACGGAGGGUGCGAGCGUUAAUCGGAAUAACUGGGCGUAAAGGGCAUGCAGGCGGGUCAUUAAGUUAGGUGUGAAAUCCCCGGGCUCAACCUGGGAACUGCACUUAAAACUGGUGGUCUGGAGUAUUGUAGAGGAAGGUAGAAUUCCACGUGUAGCGGUGAAAUGCGUAGAGAUGUGGAGGAAUACCGGUGGCGAAGGCGGCCUUCUGGACAAAUACUGACGCUGAGAUGCGAAAGCGUGGGGAGCAAACAGGAUUAGAUACCCUGGUAGUCCACGCUGUAAACGAUGUCGAUUUGGAGUUUGGUGGCAUGACG